GGGGUUGUGGCUCAGUGGUAGAGCACAUGCUUAGCAUAUGUGAGGCACUGGGUUCAAUUCUCAACACCUCA
Molecule: transfer RNA, 71 nt
Filed under: Marmota marmota marmota (Alpine marmot)
Lineage: Eukaryota; Metazoa; Chordata; Mammalia; Rodentia; Sciuridae
Also listed under: 1 other name
Rfam family: tRNA
About the family: Transfer RNA (tRNA) molecules are approximately 80 nucleotides in length. Their secondary structure includes four short double-helical elements and three loops (D, anti-codon, and T loops).
Source: Rfam by way of RNAcentral